This 406-nucleotide ribosomal RNA is filed under the name uncultured bacterium. RNAcentral describes it as "partial 16S ribosomal RNA". It matches the Rfam family "Bacterial small subunit ribosomal RNA", at positions 29 to 526 of the family's 1533-position model. The record is from RNAcentral.
AUUGAACGCUGGCGGCAGGCCUAACACAUGCAAGUCGAGCGGCCAGCGGGCGGGUAAGGAAUGUCAGGGAACCCGCCAGAUGGGGGGGACUAACCAAUGGAGACGGUAGCUAAGAACGCAUACGAUCAGAUGUGCCCAGAUGGGAUUAGCUAGUGGGUGGGGUAACGGCUCACCCAGGCGACGAUCCCUAGCUGGUUUGAGAGGAUGACCAGCCACACUGGAACUGAGACACGGUCCAGACUCCUACGGGAGGCAGCAGUGGGGAAUAUUGCACAAUGGGGGAAAGCCUGAUCCAGCCAUGCCGCGUGUGCGAUGAAGGCCUUCGGGUUGUAAAGCACUUUCGGCAGGGAAGCGUUACCCGCAGAAUAAGCACCGGCUAACUCCGUGCCAGCAGCCGCGGUAAUUC